This 253-nucleotide ribosomal RNA is filed under the name uncultured bacterium. Its description in RNAcentral is "partial 16S ribosomal RNA". It matches the Rfam family "Bacterial small subunit ribosomal RNA", at positions 524 to 776 of the family's 1533-position model. The record is from RNAcentral.
UACGAAGGGUGCAAGCGUUACUCGGAAUUACUGGGCGUAAAGCGUGCGUAGGUGGUUCGUUAAGUCAGGUGUGAAAGCCCCGGGCUCAACCUGGGAAUUGCAUUUGAGACUGAAUAGCUAGGGUGCGGAAGAGGGAAGCGGAAUUUCCGGUGUAGCGGUGAAAUGCGUAGAUAUCGGAAGGAACACCAGUGGCGAAAGCGGCUUCCUGGUCCAGCACCGACGUUCAGGCACGAAAGCGUGGGGAGCAAACAGG